Molecule: non-coding RNA, 117 nt
Organism: Pan troglodytes (chimpanzee)
Lineage: Eukaryota; Metazoa; Chordata; Mammalia; Primates; Hominidae
Rfam family: Metazoan signal recognition particle RNA
About the family: The signal recognition particle (SRP) is a universally conserved ribonucleoprotein. It is involved in the co-translational targeting of proteins to membranes.
Source: Rfam
GCCGGGCGCGGUGGCUCGCGCCUGUAAUCCCAGCACUUUGGGAGGCCGAGGCGGGUGGAUCGCCUGAGAUCAGGAGUUCGAGACCAGCCUGACCAACAUGGUGAAACCCCGUCUCCA